Long non-coding RNA from Olea europaea var. sylvestris, 2884 nucleotides. RefSeq lists it as uncharacterized. NCBI's taxonomy places the organism in Eukaryota, Viridiplantae, Streptophyta, Magnoliopsida, Lamiales, Oleaceae. The transcript has 2 exons. The record is from RefSeq and is a predicted model, not a curated record.
UAGUGUAUCUUCUCAACCCUAAGGGUAGUUCAGUGGUCAAGUUUGGAUUUGCUUUCCAAUGGUCACCAGUUCGAGUUUCAUCAGAGUCAUUGAGGUGAGUACCUGGCUAUAAACUUUAGGGCUCGUGGGAUUAGUCGAGGUGCGCGUAAGUUAGUCCGGACACCCACGGUCAUAAAAAAAAAAAGGAAAAGAAAAGUAGUGUAUUCUCUCUUGGCAUCUACCUAUAAUGAAAGAAAAAAAAUUACUUGUUGGCUAGUUUGUACACAAAGUUUCCUUCCUUCUCUUUGGAUGGAUCUCUUAGAGUAAUCACUUCGGUUUAGUUUCUAUCCCAUGUGGAAGUGUCUUCCGUAAUUUAUAUUUUCUUCAGAAGACCCCUCGGCUGCUCAGAUCCAAAAUUAAGUUCUUGACAACCUUGUUUGGAGUGACAAGAAUUGGCUCAAUGAUUCUUACCGGCAUGUAUUGCUUUCCUUUAUAGACUAUUACAAAGAAAAUUAAGGAAAGAAGUUUGCUAUACAAAAUUAACGUCCCUAAUUUUAUCGCAGCUACCAAUUCUAUAAAAGUUAUACAUAGAAACCCCUAAUUAGCUAUAAAUGAUGUAAUACCCCCCUUAAUUUGAUGUUGGUGAGUCCACAAGCAUCAAUUUACCUACAAGAAAAUCAUGAUAAAGGCUAGGCAAGGAUUUGGUGAAGAUAUCAAUGAUUUGUUGAGUAGUGGAAAUGUCGGGAAGAGUUAUGACCCUAGAACCAUAGGCAUCUGGGAUGUCGCAUUUUGAAUAGCGCUAGUGUUGCCACCAUGGAGAGGUGUAGGCUGUGAUUGGGGAACUCCAAGUUCUACUAGAAGGCUUUGCAACCACACAAUCUCUGCAUUCAGUCUCAGUGGAGGACUUAGAAACACAAUCCUAUUUCAUACAUUACUAAGAAAUAAGAACAUUACCUAGAAAGAUACACCACCCAGUUGUAGAUCGACGAAAAUCAAGACAGUCAGCCCAAUCAGCAUCACUAUAGACAGUGAACUCAAGGGACGUCCCCUUAGGAAAGAAUAGACCACGAUGAGAGUCCUAAUAAGAUAUCUAAUAAUGUGGCGGACAGCCACCAAAUGAAGAUGACAAGGAGCAUCCAUAAAUUUGUUACGGUAUGUACUGCGAAGGAAAUAUCUGGACGCGUGAUGGUGAGAUAGAUCGGAAUCUCCUCCAACCUCCAAUUUAGAGUAAGUUUUGGAAGAAUAUCGACUUUAUCUUUUAGGUAUUUGACAUUAACUUCCAACGGAGUAUCAACUGAGAAGGCUUCAGAUGAAUUAGCCAACCUAAUCAAGUCUUUAAUAUACUCAUAUUGAUUCAAGAAGAUGCCAUGUGGUGCUGAAUUAACCUCCAAAUCAAGAAUAUAAGUGAGACGACCAAAGUUUUUCAUAAGAAAAACAAAGUAAAGACGUUGGAGCUUCUGAAUAAGUAUGUCAUCAGAGCCAGAGAUAAUAAUAUCAUCCACAAACAUCAACAAGAGAACAAUGCUAGUAGUACUCUUGUGAAGGAACACAGAUGCGUUCUACUGACUGUGGGUAAAGGAAAAAUCCAAGAGAGUGCAGCGGAGCUUGUCAAACCAUGCUCGAGGGACUUGCUUGAAACCAUAAAAAAAUCGUUUUAGUUUACAUAUAGAGUCGAGGGAAUACGCAUACCUGAUGGAAGUUUAAUACGAACGUCUUCUUUGAGGUCUCCAUGUAAGAAUGCAUUCUUUACAUUUAUUUGAUGCAAAGACCAAGACCUAGAGGUGGCAAGUGAUAACAAGAGAUGAAUGGUGGUCAUUUUAGCCAACGAAGCAAAUGUCUCAUCAAAGUAUGGAUUUCAUAUGGUUAGAAGAAAAAGUGGCGUGUCUUCUCUCUUGGGCAUCUAACUAUAAGAAAAGAACAAAAAAUUACUUGUUUGUCUAUUUCCAAAAGGAAGUUUCCUCCCACUUCUUAGGGUCGGUCUCUUCUGACAGUGAGACUUUUAUCUUUAGAGUAAUUGAUUUGCCUAAGUUUCUAUCAUAAGUGAAAUUGCCUGCUUGUUAAUUAUGUUUUCUUCCCAUUGUUAAGAGACUCUCCUUCUUGAACUGAGAAUGUAGCUGAUAGCAUCAUUAUAAUUUUCCUCUUCGACAUGUUCACUCUUUUUCCUUUUCAAGAUGACGUGCAUCCGUCUGCUUGGUAUCACUCCUCUUUUCUUUGAAAGGCUUUCUAGAAAUUGUGGCAUGAUAUUGGAAAAUGUAGAUACCAUUAAGUUGUUUUAUGAUUUGACAGAUUGGGGAAAGUCAUCAACUUGGCUCUUUUGCUUGGUCUAAAAACAUUCUGCAGUAAUAAAACUGCUUCAACAAUCGAAAACUUUUUAAAGAUGAAGUGAAUAAGCAAAUAGCAAUCCUUUCUGGUUUAUUAUGGGAGAAAAGUUCUGGCAUUCGGGAUAACCAGUAUAAAGUCAAAAUCUUCACCUUUUGAUGAGUCGUUGCAGACGAGAAAGCUUUUAACAGAAGAUUCUGUUUUUUUUCUUGAUGGAACAAAAAUGCACAUUGUAGACUUCGAAGCAUUGAUCAAUAUGGAGAAAGGUGACCUUGAGGAGGAUCCAUGGGAAUUCUCUUUUAAAAAAUGCACAUUGUAUAGUCUUCAGUGGUUUCUAGAAAUUUUAAGGACUGAAAUGAAUUUUUUUGUGAAAAAUUAAGACCCAUAAUUUAUGGUCUUGAAAAUAUUGUAAUGAUGACUCGUAAUGAGAAAUUGGGUUUAGGUUUAAGACUGGAGGUUGGAGCCUAAAUGCAGUAAGUGUAAAGUUAAGAAGCUAAAUUGUAGAUAUUGAGAAAUAUAUUAUUAGAUGAGAAAGUAAAGAAUAAGAUUAAAUAGAGACGAUAAUGAUCAUUGAAUGCUAAGGAUU